CCUGACUGCUAUCGGAUUGAUACUAAGCCAUGCGAGUCAUUGUAGCAAUACAAGGCAUACGGCUCAGUAACGCGUAGUCAACCUAACCUAUGGACGGGAAUAACCUCGGGAAACUGAGAAUAAUGCCCGAUAGAACACUAUACCUGGAAUGGUUUGUGUUCCAAAUGAUUUAUCGCCAUAGGAUGGGACUGCGGCCUAUCAGUUUGUUGGUGAGGUAAUGGCCCACCAAGACUAUUACAGGUACGGGCUCUGAGAGGAGUAGCCCGGAGAUGGGUACUGAGACACGGACCCAGGCCCUAUGGGGCGCAGCAGGCGAGAAAACUUUGCAAUGUGCGAAAGCACGACAAGGUUAAUCCGAGUGAUUUGUGCUAAACGAAUCUUUUGUUAGUCCUAGAAACACUAACGAAUAAGGGGUGGGCAAGUUCUGGUGUCAGCCGCCGCGGUAAAACCAGCACCUCAAGUGGUCAGGAUGAUUAUUGGGCCUAAAGCAUCCGUAGCCGGCUCUGUAAGUUUUCGGUUAAAUCUGUACGCUUAACGUACAGGCUGCCGGGAAUACUGCAGAGCUAGGGAGUGGGAGAGGUAGACGGUACUCAGUAGGAAGUGGUAAAAUGCUUUGAUCUAUCGAUGACCACCUGUGGCGAAGGCGGUCUACCAGAACACGUCCGACGGUGAGGGAUGAAAGCUGGGGGAGCAAACCGGAUUAGAUACCCGGGUAGUCCCAGCUGUAAACUAUGCAAACUCAGUGAUGCAUUGGCUUGUGGCCAAUGCAGUGCUGCAGGGAAGCCGUUAAGUUUGCCGCCUGGGAAGUACGUACGCAAGUAUGAAACUUAAAGGAAUUGGCGGGGGAGCACCACAAGGGGUGAAGCCUGCGGUUC
Molecule: ribosomal RNA, 875 nt
Filed under: uncultured marine group I thaumarchaeote
Lineage: Archaea; Thermoproteati; Nitrososphaerota
Description: bacterial SSU rRNA
Rfam family: Archaeal small subunit ribosomal RNA
Source: RNAcentral